This 301-nucleotide ribosomal RNA is filed under the name uncultured bacterium. RNAcentral describes it as "partial 16S ribosomal RNA". It matches the Rfam family "Bacterial small subunit ribosomal RNA", at positions 509 to 807 of the family's 1533-position model. The record is from RNAcentral.
CAGUAGCCGCGGUAAGACAGAGGAUGCAAGCGUUAUCCGGAAUGAUUGGGCGUAAAGCGUCUGUAGGUGGCUGGUCGCGUCUGUCGUGAAAUCCUCUGGCUUAACUGGGGGCUUGCGGUGGGUACGGGCCGGCUUGAGUGCGGUAGGGGAGGCUGGAACUCCUGGUGUAGCGGUGGAAUGCGCAGAUAUUAGGAUGAACACCGGUGGCGAAAGCGGCUUUCUGGACGACAACUGACGCUGAGGCGCGAAAGCCAGGGGAGCAAACGGGAUUAGAUACCCGCGUAGUCCCUGUCUCUUAUAC